GCCUCAAUAGCUCAGUUGGCAGAGCAGCUCACUUGUAAUGAGCAGGUCGUGGGUUCGAAACCUACUUGGGGCACCA
This 76-nucleotide transfer RNA is filed under the name Aeromonas phage 4_4572. RNAcentral describes it as "tRNA-Thr". It matches the Rfam family "tRNA". From Rfam's summary of the family: Transfer RNA (tRNA) molecules are approximately 80 nucleotides in length. Their secondary structure includes four short double-helical elements and three loops (D, anti-codon, and T loops). The record is from RNAcentral. Lineage: Duplodnaviria; Heunggongvirae; Uroviricota; Caudoviricetes; Grimontviridae.